RNAcentral lists this ribosomal RNA (491 nucleotides) under uncultured bacterium. RNAcentral describes it as "partial 16S ribosomal RNA". It matches the Rfam family "Bacterial small subunit ribosomal RNA", at positions 29 to 507 of the family's 1533-position model. The record is from RNAcentral.
AGUGAACGCUGGCGGUAGGCCUAACACAUGCAAGUCGAGCGCAGCCCUUCUAGUGCUUGCACUUUAAGGACGCCGAGGGGCGCGGGGGUGUGAAACCUAACGAACCUUCCUUUUCGGCGGGGACAACGGUGGGAAACGUUAGCUAAUACCGGAUAACACCCUUCGGCGAAAGCCAGGGAUUUUCAGGUCUUUUCUGCUUACACUAUGCGAUGGUGUAUUAGCUAGUUGGCGGGGUAAAGGCCCACCAAGGCGACGAUCCGUAGCUGGUCUGAGAGGAUGAUCAGCCACACUGGAACUGAGACACGGUCCAGACUCCUACGGGAGGCAGCAGUGGGGAAUAUUGGACAAUGGGCGCAAGCCUGAUCCAGCCAUACCGCGUGAGUGAAGAAGGCCUUCGGGUUGUAAAGCCCUUUUGUUGGGAAAGAAAAGCAGCAGGUUAAUACCCCGCUGAUCUGACGGUACCCAAAGAAUAAGCACCGGCUAACUUCGUG